This 253-nucleotide ribosomal RNA is filed under the name uncultured bacterium. RNAcentral describes it as "partial 16S ribosomal RNA". It matches the Rfam family "Bacterial small subunit ribosomal RNA", at positions 524 to 776 of the family's 1533-position model. The record is from RNAcentral.
GACGAACCACACAAACGUUAUUCGGAAUUACUGGGCUUAAAGGGUGCGUAGGCUGCGCAGCAAGUUGGGUGUGAAAUCCCUCGGCUCAACCGAGGAACUGCGCCCAAAACUACUGUGCUCGAGGAAGAUAGAGGUGAGCGGAACUUACGGUGGAGCGGUGAAAUGCGUUGAUAUCGUAAGGAACACCUGUGGCGAAAGCGGCUCACUGGGUCUUUUCUGACGCUGAUGCACGAAAGCUAGGGGAGCAAACGGG